GUGAAAUACAUUUCGACUAUUUACAGAGAUUGCAUUGUAUAACUUGUAUACACUGUAUUACUUUGGUCUGUUUUAUCAUUUGCUGUUUUGCCUAAGUCAGGAAGUGUUUAUGUUCUUGUGUGUGUGUGUGCGUGUGUGUGUGUGUGAACAUGCGCACAGAAGCGUUGAUAUCCUUUGAACCACAACACAUACAGUAACAUGUGAAUAUAUGACAGUUACUGUAUAGUAGCUACAUAACGUGAAUCCUGUUAGCCACGGGACUAUGACAAUAUUCUCCCUGUUGAUUCUAUUUCAACUCCAUUUGCAGGGGCUGAGUCAAUGCAACUUGAACGUUAAGUGCAACAGAGCAGAGUUGUCGUGCCAACCGCUGCCUGUGCACCGUGACCUCAACAUCUGGUAUGUUCUGAGCGUGCUCCAACUCCGGCUCCUAGGAUCAGCUAACUCACCAUGGGAAACUACAUGUGUGGAACACUGAGGAAGAGGAUGUGACAUAUGCCACCAUCGACCAUAACAACACCAAGACAACAGGAUUCAUUGUAGAUUCCGGAGAUAAUGAUUGUGACUACGCCAUCGUUAACCUUCCAACUGGCCCAGCCCACCAGCCGUCAAUCAAGGAAGACUGUGCAGAUGACUAUGUCCUUAUGGGCUAACCUCAUGGACAAUGUGUGUGUGUGUGAGAUGACAGAGGUAAUGUGAGUAGGGGGAUAACGGAGAUGCAAGGUGGACAAGGGCUGGGGAAAGCUAGACAGCACCUUACGGAACCAAAGGAACAGAUAUGAUGCCUCUGACAGUGCCUACAAACUGAACUUGAUGCAGUGUGGGGUGCACCAAUUAGUGGGGCUUACCAAAGUAUUCACCCCCUUGGCAUUUUUCCUAUUUUGUUGACUUACAACCUGGAAUUAAAAUAUAUUUUGGGAGGUUUGUAUCAUUUGAUUUACACAACAUGCCUACCACUUUGAAGAUGCAAAAUAUUUUUUAUUGUGAAACAAACAAGAAAUAAGACAAAAAAACUGAAAAAAUGAGUGUGCAUAACUAUUCACCCCAAAAGUCAAUACUUUGUAGAGCCACCGUUUGCAGCAAUUACGGCUGCAAGUCUCUUGGGGUAUGUCUCGGCAAAUCUAGCCACUGGGAUUUUUGCCCAUUCUUCAAGGCAAAACUGUUCCAGUUCCUUCAAGUUGGAUGGAUUCCGCUGGUAUACAGCAAUCUUUAAGUCAUACCACAGAUUCUCAAUUGGAUUGAGGUCUGGGCUUUGACAAGGCCAUUCCAAUACAUUUAAAUGUUUCCCCUUAAACCACUUGAGUGUUGCUUUAGCAGUAUGCUUAGGGUCAUUGUCCUGCUGGAAGGUGAACCUCCGUAACCAGUCUUAAAUCUUUGGAAGACUGAAACAGGUUUCCCUCAAGAAUGUCCCUGUAUUUAGCUCCAUCCAUCAUUCCUUCAAUUCUGACCAGUUUCCCAGUCCCUGCCGAUGAAAAACAUUCAUACAGCAUGAUGCUGCCACCACCAUGCUUCAC
RNAcentral lists this long non-coding RNA (1511 nucleotides) under Salmo salar (Atlantic salmon). RNAcentral's name for it is "lncRNA (ENSSSAG00000100488.1)". Lineage: Eukaryota; Metazoa; Chordata; Actinopteri; Salmoniformes; Salmonidae. The record is from RNAcentral.